AGAGUUUGAUCAUGGCUCAGAUUGAACGCUGGCGGCAGGCCUAACACAUGCAAGUCGAACGGUAACAGGAAACAGCUUGCUGUUUCGCUGACGAGUGGCGGACGGGUGAGUAAUGUCUGGGAAACUGCCUGAUGGAGGGGGAUAACUACUGGAAACGGUAGCUAAUACCGCAUAACGUCGCAAGACCAAAGAGGGGAACCUUCGGGCCUCUUGCCAUCGGAUGUGCCCAGAUGGGAUUAGCUAGUAGGUGGGGUAAAGGCUCACCUAGGCGACGAUCCCUAGCUGGUCUGAGAGGAUGACCAGCCACACUGGAACUGAGACACGGUCCAGACUCCUACGGGAGGCAGCAGUGGGGAAUAUUGCACAAUGGGCGCAAGCCUGAUGCAGCCAUGCCGCGUGUAUGAAGAAGGCCUUCGGGUUGUAAAGUACUUUCAGCGGGGAGGAAGGGAGUAAAGUUAAUACCUUUGCUCAUUGACGUUACCCGCAGAAGAAGCACCGGCUAACUCCGUGCCAGCAGCCGCGGUAAUACGGAGGGUGCAAGCGUUAAUCGGAAUUACUGGGCGUAAAGCGCACGCAGGCGGUUUGUUAAGUCAGAUGUGAAAUCCCCGGGCUCAACCUGGGAACUGCAUCUGAUACUGGCAAGCUUGAGUCUCGUAGAGGGGGGUAGAAUUCCAGGUGUAGCGGUGAAAUGCGUAGAGAUCUGGAGGAAUACCGGUGGCGAAGGCGGCCCCCUGGACGAAGACUGACGCUCAGGUGCGAAAGCGUGGGGAGCAAACAGGAUUAGAUACCCUG
This 792-nucleotide ribosomal RNA is filed under the name uncultured bacterium. RNAcentral describes it as "bacterial SSU rRNA". It matches the Rfam family "Bacterial small subunit ribosomal RNA", at positions 8 to 789 of the family's 1533-position model. The record is from RNAcentral.